GCUCUCCUCUCUUCCCCGCCCCCUCCCACGAAACCCUAGCCGCCGCGCGUGCAACAACCGCCGCGCUACCAGCCCCUCCACGGCUUGACGCCACAGCGCACUCCUCCUUCCACCUCCUGGCCGGCGCCCAACCUCUACAGCUCUCCUUCCCUCCCCGCGCCCGAAACCCUAGCUCUGCAGGAGGUGCAGCAGAGAGGUCCCAGCGACCACGGCGGCGCAUCCAUGGCAAGUCCACCUCGCGGCCAGGCGGAGCGACGAGUGGAGGUCAAGUGGAGCGCGCCUUCGCCACCGGCUGGCGCAUCGAGGGGAGGAGGCCAGGACUGGGCGACUUCGACUCCGGCUCCUCUCCGCCGUCGCUUCUCCACCCAACGCAUGCUCCUCGCUGGUGUGCAGAUCCACGCCCGCGCCGACUCGACGAUGGCCUGUGGUUUCGCGGGUGUCGUCGCGCCACACCACUCCCGGACCUGCUCUAAUUGCAUUUGCAGCAAUGCAGAAACUUAGCCAAUCGGCAAUCGUUGUACAAAGACAGAUGUGGUUCAUUGAGCCAAUUCAACAUGGAGGGGCUUUGUGCAGCUUGGUCUCAACAUAUGCAGUCAAAGCAUCAUCUCCAGCCCGACAUCAAACAGUACCCUUAACAAAGCUACACGAUGGAUGCUAUUUGUCAUAUUUUGACCGAUGAAUCUGUUUGGAUAGAUUAUACAUGAUUGAUGUGGUUAUCAGAUGAUUGCAGUCUACCCCAAGGUGAGUUUAUCCUUUUGGUUUAUGCAAAAAUGCUUAUUUGGCUUCAUGUAUAACAUGAUUUUCAGCAUCUAAUAUUUGUUCUGUCCAACAUGAGUACAUGAGAAAGAAGUGCUACUGCUACAUUACUGCUGCUUGCCUAGGGAAAAGAGAGUUCCAUUGUAAAAUAAGAUGUCAGGUAUUGAGGGCUAGACUGUACAUGGCAAAGAUUAAUGUGUUACGGUGAAACCAAAUCUUUAGUGUUUGGGUGUCAUCUUUGUUAACUUAUUAUUAAGCAUAUCAACUAUGUAUUUUGUCCCACAUGAAUGAUUGACAAAAACUCUGCUUUUUACGACAUCAUGUCUCACUUAUUGUCAUGUCUAAAUAUUUGAAUUUUAUGUUGAUGUUUUGAUCGUGGAUGCCAAAACAUCACAGUUUGCCUGAUAGAGUGAAUUCCAUUAUAAAAUGAAGUUCCUUCCAUCAAUUAUAUAGCUUUUAUUAAUUUAAUUUUUCUACUUUGUACUCCCUCCGUCCCAAAAUAAGUGACUCAACUUUGUACUAAGAGGGAGUAUAUACAUAUUGGUUCUUUGGAUGCUUUCGUUUAAAGAUUUGCAGAGAUCAAUGAGGAUUUGGGUGGCAUGAAGGGGACUGGUGAUAGGAAACAUGGGUCCAAGAAGAAAUCAAACAGCAUGAUGAGUUGUUCUUCCUUUUCAACCGUGUUCUUGAAUUGGAAUUAUGUUUUAUAAAGUGCUUGUGUGUUGGUCAGAUGUAUAUAAGUGAAAGAAAAUAAAAAAUGGAUGGAGAAAGGGAACUUCUUGCUUUUCUUUUCCUUUUGUUUCUCUGUUUGAUAAUUACUCCCUACGAUGAGAACGUUUACGAAUAGAAAUGUCCUACUCCUUGAUCCCUUUUAGUGUGAAGGGCUCGACGGCAAGCAUGACCGUCUGCUCCACGCUUUAUUGGUUGUAUCUCUGGCUCCGUGUGCGCUGCGCCACACGCGUGUUUGUUGCUUGCGUGCUGCUGCUGCGUGUAUGGUGUGUUGGCUUGAUGUUUGUGUGUGUGUGUGUGUGUGUGUGUGUGCACGCGCACUAGCUAGGUGAGGAUCACUGGCUCACUGCUCUCUCUCUGUAGCUUCUUAGGGGAAAAAUACUUUGCCGCGGGUCUGCAUCAUGCUUCUAGCAUCUUUCCAGGCAGUUAGAUGUUUCCAAGAUCAAGAGAGAAAAGGUCAUUGCAUGCAUAUACUUUUAGAUGACACAUGACCAGAAGUCUUUCCUAUGAAAAUCAUGUGGCCUUGUGACACCCCGACCCUUUUCUUCAGAAAUUUGUGAUGUGUUUAUGCAUGUCUGUUGUGAUGUGCAUAGGAGCAUGAUUUGUUCUGCCACUUUAGGCAUUAGCACACCUAUAAUACAGGUCUUGAGUCUACAAAGCGCGCCUGUGAAUUGGCAAUGUCUGCAUAAAUAUGAUGAAUUAAAUUAUGUUUUGAGAGGGAUUUGUUCAUCUUCAAAACUAAGGAAGUUGGGUGAGCUUAAAACACCUAUUCAUCAUUUUCAGUGAACUUUUCUAAUUCUAUUUUAAAUCCACAAGAGGGCAAAAUCAUUUCUCUUUCCCAAAUCAUCUAAAUCGGAUGGGUGGGUUCCAAACUCCCAGCGCCAUUUGUCAUUUUUGUGUUUUGAUUUGUACUUGAGUGCCUUUGGACCGAUGGUACUAUGGAGAGGUGACAUUAACACCAUUGAUGGUUGCUUCUCUCCUGUAGACUAAAUCUCCUUCUUCUCUAUGUCAAUAUAUCAACAAAACAAGAGAUCUAUAAUAUCAUUGUUUAUGGAGUUCACAGAUUAUCGAAGAUUUUUGCUGCCAUGGAAUUGUGAGUUUGUGACUAUACAUUCUUGUGUCCUACAUGUGAAUUGAAGAUAUAUUGUCUCUGUAUGUGAAUGUAAAUAUCCAGGUAUGUAGGCAAGUCCUAACUUUUAUGCACAUAUUUAUCUAUGAAAUGCAUGCAAGCAAAUCACAUCUUACAUACAAUUGCCCCCUUAUUGGUAAAUGUGAUGAUCCUUAAAUUAACCGGUUGGAGAUCGGUAGACAGUCCUGUGUAUUGACAACUGGAGUUUAGUGCUCAAAAUCCUUCUAACUUUUCUACUGACUGUAUUUUCUUGACAGCUUUAAGAGAAGAACGAGUACUGUUAGUCAUUCUUUGUCAUGUAUAAUAGUAUAAUACUGGAGAUGUGAAUGGAUAAUGUUCAUUUAGUACAGUAUCAGUAGAUGAUGAUUUGUUUCCUUCGCAGUCAACUCAUGUAUAUCCUGAUAUGUUUGAUCUAUUCCCAAAUUAAUGCAUAAAGUAGCCUUAACAAUUA
Molecule: long non-coding RNA, 3062 nt
Organism: Triticum aestivum (bread wheat)
Lineage: Eukaryota; Viridiplantae; Streptophyta; Magnoliopsida; Poales; Poaceae
Exons: 3
Source: RefSeq, a predicted model, not a curated record